This 884-nucleotide ribosomal RNA is filed under the name Aerococcus sp. M_Sw_oHS_08/11_5_2(1). RNAcentral's name for it is "bacterial SSU rRNA". It matches the Rfam family "Bacterial small subunit ribosomal RNA". Lineage: Bacteria; Bacillati; Bacillota; Bacilli; Lactobacillales; Aerococcaceae. The record is from RNAcentral.
UCAGACGAACGCUGGCGGCAUGCUCUUAUACAUGCAAGUCGAGCGAACAGAUGAAGUGCUUGCACUUCUGACGUAGCGGCGAACGGGUGAGUAACACGUAAGGAAUCUACCUAUAAGCGGGGGAUAACAUUCGGAAACGGGUGCUAAUACCGCAUAAUAUCUUCUUCCGCAUGGAAGAAGAUUGAAAGACGGCUCUGCUGUCACUUAUAGAUGACCUUGCGGUGCAUUAGUUAGUUGGUGGGGUAACGGCCUACCAAGACGAUGAUGCAUAGCCGACCUGAGAGGGUGAUCGGCCACAUUGGGACUGAGACACGGCCCAAACUCCUACGGGAGGCAGCAGUAGGGAAUCUUCCGCAAUGGGCGAAAGCCUGACGGAGCAAUGCCGCGUGAGUGAAGAAGGCCUUCGGGUCGUAAAACUCUGUUAUAAGAGAAGAACAAAUUGUAGAGUAACUGCUACAGUCUUGACGGUAUCUUAUCAGAAAGCCACGGCUAACUACGUGCCAGCAGCCGCGGUAAUACGUAGGUGGCAAGCGUUGUCCGGAUUUAUUGGGCGUAAAGGGAGCGCAGGUGGUUUCUUAAGUCUGAUGUGAAAGCCCACGGCUUAACCGUGGAGGGUCAUUGGAAACUGGGAAACUUGAGUACAGAAGAGGAAUGUGGAACUCCAUGUGUAGCGGUGGAAUGCGUAGAUAUAUGGAAGAACACCAGUGGCGAAGGCGACAUUCUGGUCUGUUACUGACACUGAGGCUCGAAAGCGUGGGGAGCAAACAGGAUUAGAUACCCUGGUAGUCCACGCCGUAAACGAUGAGUGCUAGGUGUUGGAGGGUUUCCGCCCUUCAGUGCCGCAGUUAACGCAUUAAGCACUCCGCCUGGAGACACCCACUUGU